GUUUUAAGAGGCUGUGCUGGGUUGAAGGAUUUGAAUAGGGGGAGACAGGUUCAUGGUUGUGUGUUGAAGUUGGGGUUAGAGGGUCAUUUUGUUGUUGCGAGUUCGUUGGCACAUAUGUAUAUGAGGUCUGGUAGUUUAAGAGAAGGUGAGAUUGUGAUUAUGUCGAUGCCUGCUCAAACUGUGGCGGCUUGGAAUACUCUUAUUGCUGGUAGGGCUCAGAAUGGGUGUUUUGAGGGUGCGUUGGAGCUAUAUAAUUUAAUGAAAAUAGCGGGGUUUAGACCAGAUAAGAUAACAUUUGUUAGUGUGAUCAGCUCGUGUUCAGACCUGGCUACGAUAGGACAAGGGCAGCAGAUUCAUUCUGACGUUGUAAAAACUGGUGCGGUUUCUGUGGUUGCAGUUGUAAGUUCCUUGAUUAGCAUGUAUUCGAAAUGUGGGUGUUUAGGUGAAGCCGAGAAGAUUUUUGAGGAAAGGGUGGAAGCUGAUAUUGUAUUGUGGAGUGCUAUGAUUUCUGCUUAUGGGUUUCAUGGUAGGGGAAAGAACGCUGUUGAGUUGUUUCAUCGUAUAGAGCAGGAAGGACUAGCACCUAACCAUGUAACUCUCUUGAGUUUGCUCUAUGCUUGUAGUCAUAGUGGGAUGAAGGAUGAAGGGCUUAAAUUUUUCAACUUGAUGGUUGAAAAGUACAACAUAGAGCCUCAACUGGCACACUAUACGUGUGUGGUUGACCUCCUAGGAAGAGCAGGGCGCUUGCAGGAGGCUGAAGCUCUUAUUAGAUCUAUGCCUGUGAAGAUAUUUUAUUAAAUAAAUUAAAUUCUACCCGACCCAACCAAAUAAGACAAUUCCCAAAUUGAAACCGCGACCUACACACAAAAAUUGGCAACAUAUAAACACCAAAUCCAUCAUAAUUUUAACCGCCGACUGCCGCCGCCGAAGAGAGUACCGCUGCCGAGCUUCCACCGCCGCCCACGUACCAUUUCCAUUUCCAUUAUCCACUUAAUUGAUCAAGAGUAUAAAACAAUAUAGAUUAUAAGAUAAAAUGCCACGAAGCUAAGCCCAAAUGAAUAGGACAAUCUUGUCUAAAACCUCUGAAAUUCCUUCCAUUCCGUUCACCAAACACUCGACCAUUCUCUACAGCCUCCACUGAAUUUUCACUCCUAUGUUCUCAAGGUUACAUAAAAGAAGCAUUCAACAAAUUCUCUUUCCUAAUAUGGAACAACCCAGCACAUUUCUCUUCCCUUUUACAAUCGUGCAUACAAGAAAACUCUUUUUCGCUCACCAAACAGUUGCAUUCUCUCAUAAUAACCUCUGGUUGUCUCCGAGACAAAUUUGUUUGCAACCAUUUACUCAAUGCGUAUGCAAAACUGGGUCAGUUAGAUAUUGCAGUUCACCUGUUUGAUAAGAUGUCUAAAAGAAAUGUGAUGUCUUCUAACAUUUUGAUUGGUGGAUAUGUGCAAAUUGGCGAUUUGGGUAGUGCGUGUAAGGUGUUUGAUGAAAUGGGUGAGAGAAAUUUGGCUUCUUGGAAUGCUAUGAUUACUGGGUUGACUCAGUUUGAGUUGAAUGAUAAGGCGUUGAAUUUGUUUACGGAAAUGUAUGAGUUGGGUUUGGGGUACUUGCCUGAUGCGUUUACGCUUGGGAGUGUUUUAAGAGGCUGUGCUGGGUUGAAGGAUUUGAAUAGGGGGAGACAGGUUCAUGGUUGUGUGUUGAAGUUGGGGUUAGAGGGUCAUUUUGUUGUUGCGAGUUCGUUGGCACAUAUGUAUAUGAGGUCUGGUAGUUUAAGAGAAGGUGAGAUUGUGAUUAUGUCGAUGCCUGCUCAAACUGUGGCGGCUUGGAAUACUCUUAUUGCUGGUAGGGCUCAGAAUGGGUGUUUUGAGGGUGCGUUGGAGCUAUAUAAUUUAAUGAAAAUAGCGGGGUUUAGACCAGAUAAGAUAACAUUUGUUAGUGUGAUCAGCUCGUGUUCAGACCUGGCUACGAUAGGACAAGGGCAGCAGAUUCAUUCUGACGUUGUAAAAACUGGUGCGGUUUCUGUGGUUGCAGUUGUAAGUUCCUU
Molecule: long non-coding RNA, 2044 nt
Filed under: Capsicum annuum
Lineage: Eukaryota; Viridiplantae; Streptophyta; Magnoliopsida; Solanales; Solanaceae
Description: long non-coding RNA (CANN_LNC012015)
Source: RNAcentral